Pollicipes pollicipes is the source of this 336-nucleotide long non-coding RNA. RefSeq lists it as uncharacterized. The record is from RefSeq and is a predicted model, not a curated record. Lineage: Eukaryota; Metazoa; Arthropoda; Thecostraca; Pollicipedomorpha; Pollicipedidae. The transcript has 3 exons.
GCGACGUUCGAUUCUGCACCAUAAACGGAACGGCUACGGGCAAGGCGCUGGGGGGCGCCGCUGGUGCCGGAGACUGGAAAGGCGGCAUUGUGGAAAGGUUGAUCUACAAUGACCAGCCCAAACCUUGUCACCUGUGGUGACAACAUCAAAAUCUGGGACUCCAGUGGAUAUUCAUUACUCCACCAGUUUCAGCCCAACAACACUAAUGAUGACGUGGUGACGGACGUCUGCUGGAGCCGGGAUGGCAGCAUGGUGGCCAGCGUGGUCAGCCGGCAGGCGCAGCUGGUCGUCACCGGCGUCUCGGCGCACAGCACGCGCCAGCUGACGGCCGCCACA